Molecule: ribosomal RNA, 253 nt
Filed under: uncultured bacterium
Lineage: Bacteria
Description: partial 16S ribosomal RNA
Rfam family: Bacterial small subunit ribosomal RNA
Source: RNAcentral
UACAGAGGGGGCAAGCGUUAUUCGGAAUUAUUGGGCGUAAAGGGCGCGUAGGUGGCUUGGCAAGUGGAAGGUGAAAUCCUUCGGCUCAACUGAGGAACUGCCUUCCAGACUGCUUUGCUUGAGGCCGGGAGAGGCGAGUGGAAUUCCCAGUGUAGCGGUGAAAUGCGUAGAUAUUGGGAGGAACACCAGUGGCGAAGGCGGCUCACUGGACCGGAACUGACGCUGAGGCGCGAAAGCGUGGGGAGCAAACAGG